RNAcentral lists this ribosomal RNA (207 nucleotides) under uncultured bacterium. RNAcentral describes it as "partial 16S ribosomal RNA". It matches the Rfam family "Bacterial small subunit ribosomal RNA", at positions 568 to 774 of the family's 1533-position model. The record is from RNAcentral.
UGUGUAGGCGGUGCUCUAAGUUCGGUGUGAAAUCUCCCGGCUUAACUGGGAGGGUGCGCCGGAAACUGGAGUGCUCGAGCGUGGGAGAGGAAAGCGGAAUUCCUGGUGUAGCGGUGAAAUGCGUAGAUAUCAGGAGGAACACCUGUGGUGUAGACAGCUUUCUGGACCGUAGCUGACGCUGAGACACGAAAGCGUGGGUAGCAAACA